CCUCCUUUCUGCCGCCGUGGGGAAUAUUGGUCAAUGGGGGAAACCCUGAUCCAGCGACGCCGCGUGAGUGAAGAAGUAUCUCGGUACGUAAAGCCCUAUUAGUAGGGAAGAAAAGGACGGUACCUGACUCAGAAGCCCCGGCUAACUACGGGCCAGCAGCCGCGGUAACACGGAGGGGGCAGGCGUUAUCCGGAUUAACUGGGUGUAAAGCGGGCGUAGGCGGCAUCGCAAGUCUGGAGUGAAAUGCCGGGGCCCAACCCCGGAACUGCUGUGGAAACUGUGAAGCUGGAGUGCAGGAGAGGUAAGCGGAAUGCGUGGUGUAGCGGUGAAAUGCAUAGAUAUCAGGAAGAACUCCGACGGCGAAGGCAGCUUACUGGCCUGUAACUGACGUUGAAGCACGAAGGCGUGGGGAGCGAACAGGAUUAGAUACCCUGGUAGUC
Molecule: ribosomal RNA, 440 nt
Filed under: uncultured bacterium
Lineage: Bacteria
Description: partial 16S ribosomal RNA
Rfam family: Bacterial small subunit ribosomal RNA
Source: RNAcentral